Pristis pectinata (smalltooth sawfish) is the source of this 1096-nucleotide long non-coding RNA. RefSeq lists it as uncharacterized. NCBI's taxonomy places the organism in Eukaryota, Metazoa, Chordata, Chondrichthyes, Rhinopristiformes, Pristidae. The record is from RefSeq and is a predicted model, not a curated record. The transcript is spliced from 5 exons.
GGGGGCUGGGCCGAGCUGGCGGUGCAGGAGAGUGGGUCGCGCAGCAAGUAUCAACUGCUUCAUUUGCAGAGGAAUUAUGAAUAGAAUUGAACAUUGAGCAAUCAUCCACAAACGUCUCCACUUCUGAUUUUAUGAUGGAAGGAAGGUCAUUGAUGAAGCAGCUGAAGAUGGUUGAGCUUCGGACACUGCCCCGAGGAACCCAUGCAGUAAUGUCCUGAGGCUGCGAUAAUCAAUGGUCAGUUAGGAUGUUAUGGGCAGAAGGGCCUGUCUCCAUGCUCUAUGACUCAUUGAAACAUUUAGAAUUCUGAGGCUUGACAAUUCUGAGGUUGCUGAGGGGCUGAAAAGUCUCACACUAGGAAAAUGAGCUCUAAGUGUCUAAGCAGAGAAGAAAACAAAAAGAAAAAAAUGGCCUGCAGGUGCCCACAUCCCAUGAAAAUAACUAAGAACAAACUUGAGAAAUAAAAGUCAGAAGAAUGUGAAGAAAGAGUGAUGCGAAGAAGUUGAGAGUCCUUUAGAAAAAUGAUUCAUUCUGCUUCCUUUUUUGCUGUAAAAUUCUUUAAUUCCAUAUUAGAUCACAAUGAACAUCUUUGUUGAUCUCCAACAAUCACAACAAGGAAUGAUUCCAACAUUUGGUGUGCUUUCCCCUUGGUGACCUUAAUGCCAGUUUUACCACAGUUCCUUGAUGCAACACUUGGUCAAGUGCUGCUUUGAUGUCAAGGACGGUCAUUCUGACGACAUCUCUGGAAGUCAGCUCUUUAAGUUUGUGUUUGGUCCAAGGCUACGAUGAGAACUGGAGCUGAGUGGUUCUGGCAAAAUCAAAACUGGGCACUGGUGAGCACAUUAUUGCAAAACGUUAUCAACAAUGGGUAGAGGCUGCAGAUUUGGAAGAUACUGUUGGUGUAACCUGGCCUUGGAGAAAGCAAACCUGAGAAUAUGGAUCAAUUUCAUAUUUACUUUAAGAUGACAGUGCCUGCAAGGCAAAGCAAUAUGGCCAUUUAGGAUAACUUACCUGCAUCAACAAGUGAAGAGGUUUACCAGCAACCUUCUGGAAAACAUGAAACUUAACACCAGCUGUUGAUAAAGCACAAAUGAAAAC